Molecule: non-coding RNA, 69 nt
Organism: Rattus norvegicus (Norway rat)
Lineage: Eukaryota; Metazoa; Chordata; Mammalia; Rodentia; Muridae
Source: Rfam
GGGGAUUUAGCUCAGUGGUAGAGCGCUUGCCUAGGAAGCUCAAGGCCCUGGGUUCGAUCCCCAACUCCG